CCUGAAAGAACCUGCCUUUGUAGUGCUCACACAGAUUGUCUGAUGAAUGAUAAAUUUCAAAAUGUACUGUGAAGUGCAUUGUGAAAUUUUGCUCUUUAAAAAUCUGGAUCAAGCUGAAAAUUGAAACGACACACAGCUAAUGUGUGUUCGAGUCUCUCAAAUUUUCGCGACACGAUGAUGUUUCACGAAACAUCUUCGGGUUGUGA
Molecule: unclassified non-coding RNA, 206 nt
Filed under: Klebsiella oxytoca
Lineage: Bacteria; Pseudomonadati; Pseudomonadota; Gammaproteobacteria; Enterobacterales; Enterobacteriaceae
Description: partial 16S-23S ribosomal RNA intergenic spacer
Rfam family: Salmonella enterica Typhi npcRNA 44 (bases 94-199)
Source: RNAcentral